This 481-nucleotide ribosomal RNA is filed under the name uncultured bacterium. RNAcentral describes it as "partial 16S ribosomal RNA". It matches the Rfam family "Bacterial small subunit ribosomal RNA", at positions 30 to 507 of the family's 1533-position model. The record is from RNAcentral.
UUGAACGCUGGCGGCAUGCUUUACACAUGCAAGUCGAACGGUAACAGGCCGCAAGGUGCUGACGAGUGGCGAACGGGUGAGUAAUGCAUCGGAACGUGCCCAGUCGUGGGGGAUAACUACUCGAAAGAGUAGCUAAUACCGCAUACGAUCUAUGGAUGAAAGCGGGGGACCGUAAGGCCUCGCGCGAUUGGAGCGGCCGAUGUCAGAUUAGGUAGUUGGUGGGGUAAAGGCUCACCAAGCCAACGAUCUGUAGCUGGUCUGAGAGGACAACCAGCCACACUGGGACUGAGACACGGCCCAGACUCCUACGGGAGGCAGCAGUGGGGAAUUUUGGACAAUGGGCGCAAGCCCGAUCCAGCAAUGCCGCGUGCAGGAAGAAGGCCUUCGGGUUGUAAACUGCUUUUGUACGGAACGAAACGGCUCUGGUUAAUACCCGGGGCUAAUGACGGUACCGUAAGAAUAAGCACCGGCUAACUACGUG